This 253-nucleotide ribosomal RNA is filed under the name uncultured bacterium. RNAcentral describes it as "partial 16S ribosomal RNA". It matches the Rfam family "Bacterial small subunit ribosomal RNA", at positions 524 to 776 of the family's 1533-position model. The record is from RNAcentral.
UACGGAGGGUGCGAGCGUUGUCCGGAUUUAUUGGGUUUAAAGGGUGCGUAGGCGGUCUGGUAAGUCGGCGAUGAAAGCCCGGGGCUCAACCCCGGAACUGUCGUCGAUACUGUCGGACUUGAGUACGGUUGAGGCUGGCGGAAUGGGCGGUGUAGCGGUGAAAUGCAUAGAUACCGUCCAGAACCCCGAUUGCGAAGGCAGCUGGCUAAGCCGUAACUGACGCUGAGGCACGAAAGCGUGGGGAGCGAACAGG